This 2950-nucleotide long non-coding RNA is filed under the name Harpegnathos saltator (Jerdon's jumping ant). RNAcentral describes it as "uncharacterized LOC112590321". Lineage: Eukaryota; Metazoa; Arthropoda; Insecta; Hymenoptera; Formicidae. The record is from RNAcentral.
GAGAGAGAGAGAGAGAGAAAGAGAGAGAGGGAGGAAAAGAAUCGAGAUUGAGAGUGUCGUGUACCUCCCCCCCCCUCACUGGGCAUUGUUCUCCCGCUCUGUUGUUCGUUUCACGCGAAAAUAACGUUUCUCACGAAUUGUUUCUCCGUUUCCCGUUGCUUGAUUUGCAACUUGGCGCGCGGGCAGAGCGCGCGACUUCCGGCUGUCGUUAGGUAAUUAGCUCUCUCGAGAGCCGGCUCGACUCUCACCGCCCGAUCCGUCGUUCGUGCCGUCGUCGCACAGCAACGCAACAGCGCUUGUUCUGAAAUGUUCUUACGGUAGACGGGAGACUCCUGCGGAUCGUAGAACGUUUCGUCCCGGAACGCCAGUGCGGAAUUACUACGUAGUAAUAACAUUACCGAGUAUAAUGUACUGUAACAAUAGUCGAUAUCGUCGUUAUAUUAAGAGACUACUGUAGUUAACAUUUUUGUUUGUCACGUAAAUAGGGCAGAGUGUAAUAUCGAUUGUAUUAGCGUAUAUUGUUAUGAAAUUCGCGAUAGUUACGCGGCGAGGGGAAAAGAAGAGAACGAGGUAGCACUCGAAGCUAGAGUUUCCGGCGAUCCUCCUCGUCAGCGUUCCGGGACAGAGCUUAGAUUAGAGACCUAGACUUGAAGAACAUCUGCACAACGGGCCUAUUCACGGGUGUCUGUCUCUUUAGCACGCCCUGGGAAACAGGGAAACAUAGCGGAAAAGCGAAAGGAAAUUCUCGUCAAAAGUACACGCGAACGAGUCGCGUGCCAGCAUCAAAACACGAGCGAACGUAGUGACUUAGCGUAUCCGUAACGGAAGUAGAGAAUCACGUCUAGAGCCUACACGUAGCCGGUAGGUAAAACCAAACAUAUGUAAUCGAUUUAGGUAUAGGAAAGACGUCAAACAAUACGUGCCCAAUGAAUACGGCCCAGUGCCGACCGAAGAGCGACCGGGAAGGACAGCGCUGUUGUGGACGUUAGCUGAUUCGAAUUGGCGCUGACCGUUUGAGCCUCAAGAAGCGAGAGAGCGAGGAAGAGAGAAGCGAAAUCCUCACUUGUAAGCUCCUUAAGCAAGACAAAUUGGAGCUCAAAGGGUUAGAUUACACACGCGCGCGAGCAGGUCGUGCGUUUAGAUGUGAGGAAGAUGAGUCAAGUACCGAGGUCAAGAUCGAAAUGAAUCAGGAGAUCCGACGCGUUCAAGGUCAGAGUCAGCGCGGUCCUUCCUAGAUGUUCCCGACUCUCCAAUUUGACCUAUCGCAGAGCAUGACGUAGUGUUAUGACGACGCAUGUACCUUCCACCUUGCAACCUCGUGGACGUGGUUGCGCGCGAGAUGGGUUUCCCGCACUUCGAGAAGCUGCACCAUCGCUUCCUCCCUUAUCGCCUGCCGCGUCCGAUUCCGAGCAGCACCUGCAAACGUCAGCUUCCGUUUGAACGAUACCGGUCUUCGAGCGAGUCCCUUUCACCGAAUUACUCUUCACGCGGGACGAGGACCGCUCACUCCGCCUGCGGGUGAUUGCUUCCCGUUCGCGAGAUGGAGGACAACGGAGAACCGUGAAAACGAGCCAGCUUACUACACAUAUUACUCGUAAUGUUCCUAUUUCUACGCGAAUAUUCGUAACCCUCGUAAGAGCGAGAUCCCCUUCCCGGUGGACGAUCCUCCUCGUCACCUCUGUCUCUGACUAGACUAAGCAGCCUCCGGAUUAGCAUACCAAAGAGACGAUAGCUUAGCUGUAUGGUAGAUUAGAACCGUCGUUUAGUCGAUCGAAAAAAGGAAAAAAAUAUACACACCGAUACACGUACUCGUAAUAUUAGAGGAUCACGGUUAGAGCGUUUUUAGAGAGCCUCGAUUCGCUGGUAGGGUAAUCGUUCGAGUUACGUCAAGCGGAUUACAAAUCUUCCACGCGCGUGAGCCAGAGUUAAGGUACUUCAUUCCGACGUUCGCGGUAGUGAUUUAUAUCCGAUAUCUUAUCUGUCUUGCUCUCUCGAGCGAGAGUUUACUUACAAGGAAAGAUAGAGAACCCGGAAAUUCAAAAAAUUCUGAAACUUUGUGUGGAAGUAAGGUAGUUCGUCCGUAAUGCAAAACUAUAUUUUUUAUUCGUGCGGAAUUCCAGUCUGUAAAGGGAGGAAACCGCCCUUCGAAACAAAAAUCAUUUUUAGCGUAUAUCUUUUAAAAUACGAGGCAUGUGCAAAAAUGGUUUAUAUGAAAGUUGUAGUGUAUUGCAUACUCUUUGUGACUGUGUAUUCAGAUUUUGCAAAAUUGGAGGGCCGAGGGGGUUUCAAAAAUUUUUCAAUUUUGCAAAAUCUGAAUACACAAUUGCAAAGAAUAUGAAAUACAGUAUAACUUUCAUACAAACCAUUUUUGCAUAUGCCUCGUAUUUUAAAAGAUAUACGCUAAAAAUGAAAAUGAUUUAUUUUUUUCGAAGGGUGGCUUCACCCCCUCAGACUGGAAUUACACACAAACAAAAAAUAAUUUUGCAUUAUGGAUGAACCAAUUUACUUCCACACAAAGUUUCAUAAUUUUUUGAAUUUCUAAGUUCCCUGUGUUUCCUUGUUGGUUGUUCUCCCUUAUCGACCGGCUGGACGUACGCGUGCAGAGUUGAUCCUUGUUUCCAACGGGGGAAGUAGAGAUUUGUUUGAGAUUUGCGAAUUUUUUGUCCGACUGCGUGACUUUAUUCGUUGAAUUUAUCGGCUCGUGAUAUUUUUGACUCUGGUUGCAUCAUCGAUACGAUACUUUCGGUCAUAGUGAUAUUUUUGUGAGAAUAGACUGAUAGCGUUAUCGAUAAUGUUAGAUUAAAAGGGGAAAAAGGAUCUUUAGUGGUUACUUACUUACGUGUGAUUUAUACGUUACAGAAGCAAAAGGAAGGAAAAUGGAAGAGAGAUUCCUCGAGAACGGCGGAUUGUAAUACGCGCACACACACACACACACACACACACACACACA